This 519-nucleotide ribosomal RNA is filed under the name uncultured Pseudomonadota bacterium. RNAcentral's name for it is "bacterial SSU rRNA". It matches the Rfam family "Bacterial small subunit ribosomal RNA", at positions 8 to 522 of the family's 1533-position model. Lineage: Bacteria; Pseudomonadati; Pseudomonadota. The record is from RNAcentral.
AGAGUUUGAUCAUGGCUCAGAUUGAACGCUGGCGGCAUGCCUUACACAUGCAAGUCGAACGGCAGCACGGGAGCAAUCCUGGUGGCGAGUGGCGAACGGGUGAGUAAUACAUCGGAACGUGCCCAGUAGUGGGGGAUAGCCCGGCGAAAGCCGGAUUAAUACCGCAUACGACCUACGGGUGAAAGCGGGGGAUCGCAAGACCUCGCGCUAUUGGAGCGGCCGAUGUCAGAUUAGCUAGUUGGUAGGGUAAAAGCCUACCAAGGCGACGAUCUGUAGCUGGUCUGAGAGGACGACCAGCCACACUGGGACUGAGACACGGCCCAGACUCCUACGGGAGGCAGCAGUGGGGAAUUUUGGACAAUGGGCGCAAGCCUGAUCCAGCCAUGCCGCGUGCGGGAAGAAGGCCUUCGGGUUGUAAACCGCUUUUGUCAGGGAAGAAACGCUCCGAAUUAAUACCUCGGAGUAAUGACGGUACCUGAAGAAUAAGCACCGGCUAACUACGUGCCAGCAGCCGCGGUA